AUCCAGUGAUGUUGAAAUCAGUAAAAAGAGCCAGGUGACUGAAGCUCAAUCUUUAGGAGCUUAUCCAUGGGUUUUUGGAUGUUUGGUUUCAGACACGGAAGAAGAGAUGUUUGGUUUCAGACAAGGAAGAAGAGAUGCUAUUUUGGCUGUACCCAAAGAACAACAACGGUCAUCAUCAUCAACCUGCGACGGCAAUCUUCACCAAAACCGGCCUCUUGGUAUGAUCUCUUAUCUCUCUCUCUAUUAAUAUCAUAUUUUUCUAAAGUUUUUUAUUUUUUCUUUUUUAAAAGUUUUUGAUAAAAAGUAUUCUUUAAAGUUUCUCGAGAAAUUAUGUAUUACAUGAUUGAUUAUAUUAAGCUUAAGUGUAAUUGUAUAAUGUGUGAAAACUAAUAAAACAUGGUAUCCUGUCAAUAUCUUAUUGAUCGUUAGAGAUUAGCAUGUUCGUUUUGAUUUCACAAUUAUCUUCGCUUGGUUUUCUAAUGGAUCUACUAAUAUCUAAUUUCUCAUUUCUUUUAUUUUCUAUUUCUUUUCUUUUUAAAAAUUUUUGAUGGAAAGUAUUUGAGAUAAAAUUUAUUUCACUCUUUUAGAUAAACUAUAUAUAUGAUGAUUUAUGUAAUUUAAAUGUAAUUAUAUAAUGUGUGAAUACUAAUCAAACAUGAUAGUCCGUUAAUUAAAUUUUAUUGAUCGUUAGAGAUAAACAUAUUUGUUUUGAUUUUUAGGCUAGUUAUUUUUCAAAAAAAAAGUUUUCAUCAAAUUUUUUUAGAAAAAGUAAUACUUUGAUGAUUUUUUUUCACCUAUGUAUAAUGUAUACACUAAAAUUUUAUAUUUUAUACGUUAUAAUUUUUAACAUUU
Long non-coding RNA from Brassica rapa (field mustard), 852 nucleotides. RefSeq lists it as uncharacterized. The record is from RefSeq and is a predicted model, not a curated record. NCBI's taxonomy places the organism in Eukaryota, Viridiplantae, Streptophyta, Magnoliopsida, Brassicales, Brassicaceae.